Molecule: small nucleolar RNA, 184 nt
Organism: Synchiropus splendidus (mandarinfish)
Lineage: Eukaryota; Metazoa; Chordata; Actinopteri; Syngnathiformes; Callionymidae
Product: small nucleolar RNA SNORA81
Exons: 1
Source: RefSeq, a predicted model, not a curated record
UCCUUCUCUCCAAAGCACCCUGCUCAAACUGCACCAGCCGAGCUUCUGAAGGUCAGCUGGUGUGGUCGUGUAAGUGCGGGUACACCAGGGAAGGAGAUCAGACACACCGAAUCUGAAUGGAGACAAUGGGCGGACCUCUUUCUUAAUGUCCAGUGUCCUUGUCUUAAGAUGACGUGUGACAUUC